GUAAAAGGGCAAAAUUACUGAAAAGUAAUGACGCAAAGUUAAGUGUCUAAGGCAAAUAAAGCUAUGAUUGACUA
This 74-nucleotide non-coding RNA is filed under the name chicken gut metagenome. Its description in RNAcentral is "Cyclic di-GMP-I riboswitch". It matches the Rfam family "c-di-GMP-I riboswitch aptamer", at positions 6 to 78 of the family's 87-position model. Rfam says of the family: GEMM was predicted in a large-scale screen for bacterial structured RNA regulatory elements. The record is from RNAcentral.